UACGUAGGGUGCAAGCGUUGUCCGGAAUUAUUGGGCGUAAAGAGCUCGUAGGCGGUUUGUCGCGUCUGCUGUGAAAACUCGGGGCUUAACCCCGGGCCUGCAGUGGGUACGGGCAGACUAGAGUGCGGUAGGGGAGACUGGAAUUCCUGGUGUAGCGGUGAAAUGCGCAGAUAUCAGGAGGAACACCGGUGGCGAAGGCGGGUCUCUGGGCCGUAACUGACGCUGAGGAGCGAAAGCAUGGGGAGCGAACAGG
RNAcentral lists this ribosomal RNA (253 nucleotides) under uncultured bacterium. Its description in RNAcentral is "partial 16S ribosomal RNA". It matches the Rfam family "Bacterial small subunit ribosomal RNA", at positions 524 to 776 of the family's 1533-position model. The record is from RNAcentral.